Molecule: long non-coding RNA, 489 nt
Organism: Adelges cooleyi (spruce gall adelgid)
Lineage: Eukaryota; Metazoa; Arthropoda; Insecta; Hemiptera; Adelgidae
Exons: 3
Source: RefSeq, a predicted model, not a curated record
UAAAGUUUAUAGCCUUAUUGAAAACGAAAAAAUAUUAAUACAAUAAUUAUGAAUAUGAAGUUUUUUAUUUUAUUGUGUCUAACAUUUUUUACUCAAUCAGUCAACUCUGCUGGGAAGAUAACAAAACAGGAAAGAGAGACCCUAAAUUGCUUUUUUCAAGAGAUAUUAGAUUAUGUCAAUGCUGACCGUACUCAUUCAGACCAAAUAAAUGCCAUAACACUACAACAGUUUUUGGAUAAUGUGGGUACAGGUACCAGAGAAACUGCGGAGAAUGCGGCAGCGGAAUGUGUUGGUACCACAGAGGACGGACAAGUGCCACUUGACCGUACUAUAGGAAAAGUUGCUUUUAAUAAACUAGUAGCAAAUAUCUGUCAAAAAUUACAAAUAACAAUAGAUGCAUACGCACGUCCAAUAAGGGAGGCAAUAGCUACAAAACACGUUCAGUUUUUACAAUCAAGACAAUAAUUGAAGAUUUAAAAUCUUUGUUAA